Molecule: non-coding RNA, 108 nt
Organism: Chelonoidis abingdonii (Abingdon island giant tortoise)
Lineage: Eukaryota; Metazoa; Chordata; Testudines; Testudinidae
Source: RefSeq, a predicted model, not a curated record
UUUUUACCCAGGCGCCCCCGCGCCGACUCACCUGAGGCCAGCCAGGAGCACUCAUGGGAUGAUGACAAGGACGGGCUAUCAGUCCUUUUUCCCUUUACCACCGCAGAG